Molecule: small nuclear RNA, 107 nt
Organism: Schistocerca nitens (vagrant locust)
Lineage: Eukaryota; Metazoa; Arthropoda; Insecta; Orthoptera; Acrididae
Source: RefSeq, a predicted model, not a curated record
GUACUCGCUACGGCGGAACAUAUACUAAAAUUGGAACGAUACAGAAAAGAUCAGCAUGGGCUCUGCUCAAGGAUGGCACGCAAAAUCUUGAAACCUUCCCAAUUUUU